GAGGAAUAUUGCUCAAUGGGAGAAAUCCUGAAGCAGCAACGCCGCGUGGAGGAUGAAGGGUCUAUGACUUGUAAACUCCUGUAAAGAAGGAAAAAAUUCCCAUUAGAUGGGAGAUGAUGGUACUUCUGGAGUAAGCCCCGGCUAACUACGUGCCAGCAGCCGCGGUAAUACGUAGGGGGCAAGCGUUGUCCGGAUUUACUGGGUGUAAAGGGUGCUCAGGCGGAUUUGUAAGUCAGAGGUGAAAUCUUACAGCUUAACUGUGAAACUGCCUUUGAUACUGCAAGCCUAGAGUAUGGAAGAGAGUGAUGGAAUAUCUGGUGUAGCAGUGAAAUGCGUAGAUAUCAGAUAGAACACCAAUGGCGAAGGCAGUCACUUGGUCCAUUACUGACGCUAAAGCACGAAGGCGUGGGUAGCAAACA
Molecule: ribosomal RNA, 419 nt
Filed under: uncultured bacterium
Lineage: Bacteria
Description: bacterial SSU rRNA
Rfam family: Bacterial small subunit ribosomal RNA
Source: RNAcentral